GACGAACGCUGGCGGCGUGCUUAACACAUGCAAGUCGAACGGAAAGGCCCUGCUUUUGUGGGGUGCUCGAGUGGCGAACGGGUGAGUAACCCGUGAGUAACCUGCCCUUGACUUUGGGAUAACUUCAGGCAACUGGGGCUAAUACCUGCUAGGAGCUCCUGCUGCAUGGUGGGGGUUGGACAGUUUCGGCGGUUGGGGAUGGACUCGCGGCUUAUGAGCUUGUUGGGGGGGUAGUGGCUUACCAAGCGUUUGACAGGUAGCCGGCAUGGGAGGGGGACCAGCGUCAUUGGGACUGAGGUACGGACCAGACGGCUACGGGAGGCAGCAGUGGGGAAUAUGGUACAACGGGCGGAAGUCUGAUGAAGCAACGCUGCGAGCGGGAUGACGGCCUUCUGGUUGUAAACCGCAGUCGCCUGUGACGAAGCGUGAGUGACGGUAAUGGGUAAAGAAGCACCGGCUAACUACGUG
Molecule: ribosomal RNA, 468 nt
Filed under: uncultured bacterium
Lineage: Bacteria
Description: partial 16S ribosomal RNA
Rfam family: Bacterial small subunit ribosomal RNA
Source: RNAcentral